UACGAAGGGGGCUAGCGUUGCUCGGAAUCACUGGGCGUAAAGCGCACGUAGGCGGAUUGUUAAGUCAGGGGUGAAAUCCUGGAGCUCAACUCCAGAACUGCCUUUGAUACUGAGAGGCUUGAGUCCGGGAGAGGUGAGUGGAACUGCGAGUGUAGAGGUGAAAUUCGUAGAUAUUCGCAAGAACACCAGUGGCGAAGGCGGCUCACUGGCCCGGUACUGACGCUGAGGUGCGAAAGCGCGGGGAGCAAACAGG
RNAcentral lists this ribosomal RNA (253 nucleotides) under uncultured bacterium. Its description in RNAcentral is "partial 16S ribosomal RNA". It matches the Rfam family "Bacterial small subunit ribosomal RNA", at positions 524 to 776 of the family's 1533-position model. The record is from RNAcentral.